GAUGAACGCUGGCGGCGUGCCUAAUACAUGCAAGUCGAGCGAACAGAUGAGGAGCUUGCUCCUCUGACGUUAGCGGCGGACGGGUGAGUAACACGUGGAUAACCUACCUAUAAGACUGGGAUAACUUCGGGAAACCGGAGCUAAUACCGGAUAAUAUAUUGAACCGCAUGGUUCAAUAGUGAAAGACGGUUUUGCUGUCACUUAUAGAUGGAUCCGCGCCGCAUUAGCUAGUUGGUAAGGUAACGGCUUACCAAGGCGACGAUGCGUAGCCGACAUGAGAGGGUGAUCGGCCACACUGGAACUGAGACACGGUCCAGACUCCUACGGGAGGCAGCAGUAGGGAAUCUUCCGCAAUGGGCGAAAGCCUGACGGAGCAACGCCGCGUGAGUGAUGAAGGUCUUCGGAUCGUAAAACUCUGUUAUUAGGGAAGAACAAAUGUGUAAGUAACUAUGCACGUCUUGACGGUACCUAAUCAGAAAGCCACGGCUAACUACGUG
Molecule: ribosomal RNA, 497 nt
Filed under: uncultured bacterium
Lineage: Bacteria
Description: partial 16S ribosomal RNA
Rfam family: Bacterial small subunit ribosomal RNA
Source: RNAcentral